GGCGGGGUUCCGCUCCCUAUCGGGGUCUACCUCCCCCUGCCAGGGAAGAGAAGACGGGGUGCUGGUUUCCAGCCGGGGUGGACGCACGAGAAGUAAGUGGGCGACCCCAAGGCAGGGGAUGCGAAUCCUGGACUGAAGGAAGAUGCCCAUCUCCUGUGCCUGGGAGGGUCUGCAGGGGACGCUCGUAAGGGGUUCUCGUCCCUGCUGAUUUCCCCAGAAGUGACCCAACAUCGCCUCGGUGGAGGAUGUGGACGCCCGCAGGACCGGUU
This 269-nucleotide long non-coding RNA is filed under the name Zalophus californianus (California sea lion). RNAcentral describes it as "lncRNA (ENSZCAG00015004879.1)". Lineage: Eukaryota; Metazoa; Chordata; Mammalia; Carnivora; Otariidae. The record is from RNAcentral.